GGUUAUGGCUCAGUGGUAGAGUGCUCGCCUAGCAUGUGUGAGGCACUGGGUUUGAUCCUCAGCACAUUA
This 69-nucleotide transfer RNA is filed under the name Marmota monax (woodchuck). RNAcentral's name for it is "tRNA.Ala". Lineage: Eukaryota; Metazoa; Chordata; Mammalia; Rodentia; Sciuridae. The record is from RNAcentral.